RNAcentral lists this ribosomal RNA (493 nucleotides) under uncultured bacterium. RNAcentral's name for it is "partial 16S ribosomal RNA". It matches the Rfam family "Bacterial small subunit ribosomal RNA", at positions 27 to 507 of the family's 1533-position model. The record is from RNAcentral.
GAGUGAACGCUGGCGGUAGGCCUAACCCAUGCAAGUCGAACGGCAGCACAGUAAGAGCUUGCUCUUACGGGUGGCGAGUGGCGGACGGGUGAGGAAUACAUCGGAAUCUACUUUUUCGUGGGGGAUAACGUAGGGAAACUUACGCUAAUACCGCAUACGACCUACGGGUGAAAGCAGGGGAUCUUCGGACCUUGCGCGAUUGAAUGAGCCGAUGUCGGAUUAGCUAGUUGGCGGGGUAAAGGCCCACCAAGGCGACGAUCCGUAGCUGGUCUGAGAGGAUGAUCAGCCACACUGGAACUGAGACACGGUCCAGACUCCUACGGGAGGCAGCAGUGGGGAAUAUUGGACAAUGGGCGCAAGCCUGAUCCAGCCAUACCGCGUGGGUGAAGAAGGCCUUCGGGUUGUAAAGCCCUUUUGUUGGGAAAGAAAAGCAGCAGGUUAAUACCCCGCCGUUCUGACGGUACCCAAAGAAUAAGCACCGGCUAACUUCGUG